This is a non-coding RNA of Arvicanthis niloticus (Nile rat), 80 nucleotides long. Lineage: Eukaryota; Metazoa; Chordata; Mammalia; Rodentia; Muridae. The record is from RefSeq and is a predicted model, not a curated record.
UAAAAUAUUUCAGCCUCUGAGACUUACUGUUGAAUAAGUUCAUCUUUAUCAGUUGUUUCUGAACUCUGGCUGGCUGGUUC